CCCCCCCCCCCUUAUUUCAAACAACAAAAUUAAAUGUAUUGAUACAAAUAUAUAUCUAUGGAUACAAAUAUAUCUGUACAAAUGUAUAUAGAUAGAAUAAUCGUAUAGAUAAAGAAAAAUUAAAAUCCCCGGCUACAAUCCAACCAGGGAAUAGCGGGAGUGUAGACGAUCUGGGACCUAGCUCUCCAAACAAAUUACGCUCCUGAAGCAAAAAGAAAGAGUAAAUCGGUGCUGCCUGUUGUGUGUAUUAUAUGUAAAAAACGUGACAGAUUUGUCACUGUUGGAGAAAAUAGGAAGAAGGGUGUAUUAACACAGACUCAGACCCAAACAGGCUCAGGCCAACUGUUGAAAGCUGCUGAAUUGAAAGAGGAUGAAGAUAUUUUAAGGCAUAUCAGAGGGCAAGAUUGUGUGGCCAUUGAGGUCAGAUAUCACCAAAAAUGUUAUAGGCAAUAUACAUGUACUGAAUUUCUUAGACAGUUAUCAGAAAGCAAAGAUGACUAGCCCUCCGUCGAAUAUUAAACCACAUACAAUAUAUUCUGUGAAGAUGUCAUAAGAGAAAGAAUCAUAAAUGGCCAGCAAAGUUGUCUUGUACAGAGAGAGAGAGAGAGAGAGAAAUGGGGUUUAACGUCCACUCAACACAAACUAGGUCAUUUUGGGACUAACAUACGGUUUCAAUUUUAUUUCAAUAAUUCGCUUGCGCGUAUUGGUCUUUAGCAGUGAGAGGAAACCGGAGUGCCCGGAGGAAACCCACGAGGUUGAGAAGACGCCUCUAUCUCCAUGCCACAUACGCUCACACCUGGGAUCAAAGCCACAGCCACAAGCCAGAGGUGACCGACCAGCUAGAGGUCGAAGCGCGGCACUCUAGGCCAUCCCAACCCCCCUUUCUUGUACAGACCUGUGCAUGUGUAGUCAAUGUGAAAAUGAAAAAAAAACUGUUAAAGAGACCGAAUUUGAUGUUAAUACAUUUAGUGACAGUGAUGAUGAUAAUGAAGAUUAACUUUGAUGACAUUUGAUGUGCAGAGUAACUGUUUAAUUUUGAUUUUCAAUGAUUGUUUCACUUUAAUAAAUAAUUUCACA
Molecule: long non-coding RNA, 1077 nt
Organism: Patella vulgata (common limpet)
Lineage: Eukaryota; Metazoa; Mollusca; Gastropoda; Patellidae
Exons: 3
Source: RefSeq, a predicted model, not a curated record